Molecule: ribosomal RNA, 497 nt
Filed under: uncultured bacterium
Lineage: Bacteria
Description: partial 16S ribosomal RNA
Rfam family: Bacterial small subunit ribosomal RNA
Source: RNAcentral
GAUGAACGCUGGCGGCGUGCCUAAUACAUGCAAGUCGAGCGAACAGACGAGGAGCUUGCUCCUCUGACGUGAGCGGCGGACGGGUGAGUAACACGUGUAAAACCUACCUAUAAGACUGGGAUAACUUCGGGACAGCGGAGCAAAUACCGGAGAAUAUAUUGAACCGCAUGGGUCAUUAGUGAAAGACGGUUUUGCUGGCACGUAUAGAGGGAUCCCCGCCGCAUUAGCUGGUUGGUAAGGUAACGGCUUACCAAGGGAACGAUGCGUAGCCGACCGGAGAGGGGGAUCGCCCACCUUGGAAGUGAGACAGGGUCCAGACUCCUGCGGGAGGCAGCAGUAGGGAAUCUUCCGCAAUGGGCGAGAGCUUUACGGAGCAACGCCGCGUGAGUGAUGAAGGUCUUCGGAUCGUAAAACUCUGUUAUUAGUGAAGAACAAAUGUGUAAGUAACUAUGCCGUUCUUGACGGUAACUAAUCAGAAAGCCCCGGCUAACUACGUG